RNAcentral lists this ribosomal RNA (459 nucleotides) under uncultured bacterium. RNAcentral's name for it is "partial 16S ribosomal RNA". It matches the Rfam family "Bacterial small subunit ribosomal RNA", at positions 338 to 795 of the family's 1533-position model. The record is from RNAcentral.
CCUACGGGAGGCAGCAGUGAGGAAUAUUGGUCAAUGGUCGGGAGACUGAACCAGCCAAGCCGCGUGAGGGAUGAAGGUACAGAGUAUCGUAAACCUCUUUUGUCAGGGAACAAAGGCGGGGACGCGUCCCCGGAUGAGUGUACCUGAAGAAAAAGCAUCGGCUAACUCCGUGCCAGCAGCCGCGAUAAUACGGAGGAUGCGAGCGUUAUCCGGAUUUAUUGGGUUUAAAGGGUGCGCAGGCGGUCUGUUAAGUCAGCGGUCAAAGCCCGGGGCUCAAACCAGCCCCGCCGUUGAAACUGGCAGUCUGGAGUUGGAGAGAAGUAUGCGGAAUGCGCGGUGUAGCGGUGAAAUGCAUAGAUAUCGCGCAGAACUCCGAUUGCGAAGGCAGCAUGCCGGCUCCACACUGACGCUGAGGCACGAAAGCGUGGGUAUCGAACAGGAUUAGAUACCCCAGUAGUC